ACGGGUGAGUAAUACAUCGGAACGUAUCCUGGAGUGGGGGAUAGCCCGGCGAAAGCCGGAUUAAUACCGCAUACGCUCUGAGGAGGAAAGCGGGGGACCUUCGGGCCUCGCGCUCAAGGGGCGGCCGAUGGCGGAUUAGGUAGUCGGUGGGGUAAAGGCCUACCAAGCCGACGAUCCGUAGCUGGUCUGAGAGGACGACCAGCCACACUGGGACUGAGACACGGCCCAGACUCCUACGGGAGGCAGCAGUGGGGAAUUUUGGACAAUGGGGGCAACCCUGAUCCAGCAAUGCCGCGUGUGUGAAGAAGGCCUUCGGGUUGUAAAGCACUUUUGUCCGGAAAGAAAUCAUCGGGGCCAAUACCCCUGGUGGAUGACGGUACCGGAAGAAUAAGUACCGGCUAACUACGUGCCAGCAGCCGCGGUAAUACGUAGGGUGCGAGCGUUAAUCGGAAUUACUGGGCGUAAAGCGUGCGCAGGCGGUGCUGUAAGACCGAUGUGAAAUCCCCGGGCUUAACCUGGGAACUGCAUUGGUGACUGCAGCGCUGGAGUAUGGCAGAGGGGGGUGGAAUUCCACGU
This 576-nucleotide ribosomal RNA is filed under the name uncultured bacterium. RNAcentral describes it as "bacterial SSU rRNA". It matches the Rfam family "Bacterial small subunit ribosomal RNA", at positions 102 to 674 of the family's 1533-position model. The record is from RNAcentral.